GCUUCUUAGCAUAAAUAUAAGGACUCAUUGGAAUAAAACAGAGAAAAUUAGCAUGGCCCCUGCACAAGAAUGACAUGCAAAUUCGUGAAGAGUUCCAUGUUUAA
Suncus etruscus (white-toothed pygmy shrew) is the source of this 104-nucleotide small nuclear RNA. NCBI's taxonomy places the organism in Eukaryota, Metazoa, Chordata, Mammalia, Eulipotyphla, Soricidae. The record is from RefSeq and is a predicted model, not a curated record.